This 253-nucleotide ribosomal RNA is filed under the name uncultured bacterium. RNAcentral's name for it is "partial 16S ribosomal RNA". It matches the Rfam family "Bacterial small subunit ribosomal RNA", at positions 524 to 776 of the family's 1533-position model. The record is from RNAcentral.
UACGAAGGGUGCUAGCGUUGUUCGGAAUCACUGGGCGUAAAGCGCGCGUAGGCGGCUUUUCAAGUCAGGGGUGAAAUCCUUGGGCUCAACCCAAGAAUUGCCUUUGAAACUGUGAAGCUAGAGUGUCGGAGGGGAUAGCGGAAUUGCUAAUGUAGAGGUGAAAUUCGUAGAUAUUAGCAGGAACACCGGUGGCGAAAGCGGCUCACUGGACCAUAACUGACGCUGAGGUGCGAAAGCGUGGGGAGCAAACAGG